Molecule: ribosomal RNA, 1443 nt
Filed under: uncultured organism
Description: 16S ribosomal RNA
Rfam family: Bacterial small subunit ribosomal RNA
Source: RNAcentral
AGGACGAACGCUGGCGGCGUGCUUAACACAUGCAAGUCGAACGGAAAGGCCCUGCUUUUGUGGGGUGCUCGAGUGGCGAACGGGUGAGUAACACGUGAGUAACCUGCCCUUGACUUUGGGAUAACUUCAGGAAACUGGGGCUAAUACCGGAUAGGAGCUCCUGCUGCAUGGUGGGGGUUGGAAAGUUUCGGCGGUUGGGGAUGGACUCGCGGCUUAUCAGCUUGUUGGUGGGGUAGUGGCUUACCAAGGCUUUGACGGGUAGCCGGCCUGAGAGGGUGACCGGCCACAUUGGGACUGAGAUACGGCCCAGACUCCUACGGGAGGCAGCAGUGGGGAAUAUUGCACAAUGGGCGGAAGCCUGAUGCAGCAACGCCGCGUGCGGGAUGACGGCCUUCGGGUUGUAAACCGCUUUCGCCUGUGACGAAGCGUGAGUGACGGUAAUGGGUAAAGAAGCACCGGCUAACUACGUGCCAGCAGCCGCGGUGAUACGUAGGGUGCGAGCGUUGUCCGGAUUUAUUGGGCGUAAAGGGCUCGUAGGUGGUUGAUCGCGUCGGAAGUGUAAUCUUGGGGCUUAACCCUGAGCGUGCUUUCGAUACGGGUUGACUUGAGGAAGGUAGGGGAGAAUGGAAUUCCUGGUGGAGCGGUGGAAUGCGCAGAUAUCAGGAGGAACACCAGUGGCGAAGGCGGUUCUCUGGGCCUUUCCUGACGCUGAGGAGCGAAAGCGUGGGGAGCGAACAGGCUUAGAUACCCUGGUAGUCCACGCUGUAAACGGUGGGUACUAGGUGUGGGGUCCAUUCCACGGGUUCCGUGCCGUAGCUAACGCUUUAAGUACCCCGCCUGGGGAGUACGGCCGCAAGGCUAAAACUCAAAGGAAUUGACGGGGCCCCGCACAAGCGGCGGAGCAUGCGGAUUAAUUCGAUGCAACGCGUAGAACCUUACCUGGGUUUGACAUGGAUCGGGAGUGCUCAGAGAUGGGUGUGCCUCUUUUGGGGUCGGUUCACAGGUGGUGCAUGGCUGUCGUCAGCUCGUGUCGUGAGAUGUUGGGUUAAGUCCCGCAACGAGCGCAACCCUUGUUCACUGUUGCCAGCACGUUAUGGUGGGGACUCAGUGGAGACCGCCGGGGUCAACUCGGAGGAAGGUGGGGAUGACGUCAAGUCAUCAUGCCCCUUAUGUCCAGGGCUUCACGCAUGCUACAAUGGCUGGUACAGAGAGUGGCGAGCCUGUGAGGGUGAGCGAAUCUCGGAAAGCCGGUCUCAGUUCGGAUUGGGGUCUGCAACUCGACCUCAUGAAGUCGGAGUCGCUAGUAAUCGCAGAUCAGCAACGCUGCGGUGAAUACGUUCCCGGGGCUUGUACACACCGCCCGUCAAGUCAUGAAAGUUGGUAACACCCGAAGCCGGUGGCCUAACCGUUGUGGGGGAGCCGUCGAAGGUGGGACUGGUGAUU